Lates calcarifer (barramundi perch) is the source of this 3316-nucleotide long non-coding RNA. RefSeq lists it as uncharacterized. The record is from RefSeq and is a predicted model, not a curated record. Lineage: Eukaryota; Metazoa; Chordata; Actinopteri; Centropomidae. The transcript is spliced from 5 exons.
GCAGGUCAGCGCCCGUCAGGCAAGAAACGCUGCUCCUGGCGAACGUCUCCUUCAUCUGCACAGAGCGAAAAUGUCAAGGGGAGCAUCGAACAAUUAGGCCAAACGUCUCUUUUGACUUCUCGUCAGACACGCCUGAUGGAGGUCUCAUUUCUCCACAUAUUGCUGCCUGGAUUAAUGAUUAAUUCCUGUAAACACAGACUGAGAGUUGUCUUGGACUGAAUCCAGGUAACCAAAGGACUCUGGCUUCACCACAACAAGCAGAGCUUUGACUUGAAGAACACAGCUGCUUGUGCGAGAGAAAAAAAAGAAGAAGAGCCAGAAGUUUCUUUGAUAAACAGUGAGAGAAAUGUCUGUGAACAGUGAAUUUGCAAACAAAAAAGAAGAAAGAAAACUGUAAGUAUUUUUUUUUUUUUUUUUCAUAAAUAAACCAGUACAUUGUGAAUAUUUUACAUCGUGUGCAGGUACAGUAGAUGACUUUCUGAGUAAUUUACAAUGUCAGUUUCCCCUUAAAUCAUUUUAAAAUCACAGUUAUCAAUUAUUAACUAUAACAAAGAGUUGCUGUGAUUAUGAGUCAGUGUGAGCCACAUCUGGUGCCAUUUUGGAGGUCAACUAGCAAACUGAAUGAACUCUCGUAAUUGUCGGAUUGUAUGUUGCAUAAAAACGCUAAAGGGGAGAAAUGCGUUCACUUUUGCAGAAGUAAAAAAAUAAUUAAAAAACAAAACAAACAGGACAGGAAAGACAGUUUACACUUACAGUAAAAUAUCCUAAUUUUUGUUUACAGGACGCCAUAAUCUCAGUCAUAUUAUUUCUUUCAAAAAUGUAGUAAAAGGUACUUUGGUUAGUUAUAAUAAGUAUCAAUUAUUAUUACAAAACAUUUUAGUAAUUGCAUUAAUUACAAUGGCAUCUGUCAGUUAUGAGAAUGAGUUACCAUAUUUCUCAUAUGUACAAUGUAUAAUUCUUACAUGUACAUUUAUUUCAUUUCUUACAUCUUUUUUUUAAAGUUCAAAACAUGGAGAAGUCCCGCAAGAAAUCAGGAAAAUGGGAAAUUCUGGGCUGCUCAUGAAGAUCAUGUGAUACAAUCAAAACUAGAUGGACUUAUUUUAGGAAAUAGUGUAAAGUUGUGUUUGUUUUGUAGUUUUAAACCUAGAGAUUUUGAAUUGACAGUGACAUAAAACAGUAAAUUACUCACAUAAACAAAAUAUAUAACUGUUAUAACACAUUAUAAUGUAAUUAUAAUAUAAAUAUUAUCAGUUUAUAAUAUGAUACACAUUUAGUACUUUUCCAUAUUACAUUUAUGUUUUUGUGACUACAUAAACUGUCCUAGUCUUAAAUCAAAUAUUAAAAAUGCUGUUAAAAGUUGACAACCUCUAAUAUGGCCACCAGAGUUCGCCCUCUACAGGUGCAGUGACAGAUCUCAUCCCCGCAAUCACAGAAAAAACGCAGUCCAGGAAUGUCGUGCCUUUCACCCUGACAGAAAAACCCCCUUUGCAAAAAAAUAAAACACAUAAUAAUACACAACAUACAGUGCAUUAUGAAGAAAUAUUGCGAUCCUGCUCCCUACAUACCACUAGAGUUGUCACAGCAGCCAAUAAAAUGACUACUUUAUAGGAUUUAUUAGUACAUCUGGGGCCAGUUUUGUGUAUCUGCUCAGCCGGAACAACCUGUGGCGUAACCCUGCUUAUAUUAAAACCUUACUUAUACAAUACAAAACUAUUUAAUGCAUUUUUUCCCACAAUAUGCAGCACUUAGAAACAUUCAAGUCUUUCCCCAAAGUCCACAUCCCUAAUUCUGAUUUAUAAAUGGCUUAUGCAUAUCAAACUUUUAUCACUUUUUUACUAGAGGAGGUACAAAAAGUGUGGAAUUUGCAUUGCUAAGUUGUCUGGAAUGACUUCCUUUCAAGAGAGGAAAGUAAAAUCGCAGCCUCUUGAUAGUCAGUGUUGGAAUUUCAACAUUUUCUGGUGGUGGUGGGGUAAUGUGAAGCCUUGUAAUGACUGUUUUUGGGCCAAAUGCCAAAAACCGAGUCUGUCCGGCGCGCGCUGUCGUCGGUUCAUUAUAUUAGUUUCGGGCCAGUUUUUGGAGGAGGGGUGAGGAAACAUGAUAGUCCACUUGGGAUGUCUUGUCUCUCUCGCGGUGAUACAGUAAUUCGCGCAUAAAUUUCACAGCUAUCAUCAUCAUCAUCAUCAUCAUCGUAGUCGUCGUCAUUGCAUUGGCCCUGCACUACAGUGGUCAUCAGAGAGGAAAGUUGCAGAGGGUGAGCGAUGCUUUCAAACAUACAUUAUUGCACAAUCCAGUGAGUAUACACAGCUGUGAACUCUGGCAUACUUUUUACACACACACACACACACUGUAAAGUUGACUGGCCUGUUGUCUGUGUGUGUUUAAACUGUUUCAGUGUCUCAGUGCAUCGUAAAAGAAUAAAAGCUGGAGAUAAUUUCUCUGCGUGACCUUGAGCUCUAAAACUAGGCAGAUUAAAAGCUUGUAGUAGGUAGUAUAUUAUCAUUUUAUAAUGUUUUUUAUCAGUUUUUACAGAAAUAUACUGAUUUUUUUUCAUAAGAAAAUACGUUUUAACUAAAUUUUUUUUCCCCCAGACAUCCAAAACUUGUUGGUUGUUGUCCUACAUCAGUUUACAGUAAAUAGGGACGGCUCAGAUACUACUACUUGUGAAAACAUUUCCAUAAUUACCUAUGUAGCGGGAACUUAAUGUACGAAAAAGAAAAAUCAAGGAAUUUUAAACAUGAAAUUCUCAGUCAGUUUUUUCUGGCAAUAGCAUUGCUAGAGAGCCUCUGAUGGUGGUUUUCUUCAUGUAUAUUGUUUUACAUGACUUAAUAAUUCUUUAUUUUGCAAAGGUGUAGUCAAAGACAUGUUGGACAUACACCUUGUCAGCCCUUAGACACAGUAAAUCCCUGCGUUUUUAGAUAUACCAUCUGUUAUUCUCCAAAAAGGUUGUAUUGGCCUUGUACGAACAAAAAUCGCCACAUUCUUUGGUCACAUUUGAUUGGAAAUGCUUUGGUUUUAAGGAUCAGUAAAGACCUUGUAAUUGUAGAUACUAAAUCAACACUCAAGUAACCUCCUUUGGUGUCACCAUGUUUAGUUGUUUUUACAUUAGAGGAUCCCAAGGAAGAUUUGAUGAUUUGCCCCCUAGUGGCUGUUUUUUUGAAUCCUCCAGGUUCACACUACAAUGAAGCAAGUAACGCUCACGUUGCAGCCGCUUGUCUACACGAACACGAUGGACACGACCUUCUAAUACUUCCUGCCCCCAUCAAGGAACUCUCAAGUACCUCUCAAGUACCAGAAUUCCCUCUUUGGUUUCACAAGC